Molecule: non-coding RNA, 274 nt
Organism: Schizosaccharomyces pombe (fission yeast)
Lineage: Eukaryota; Fungi; Ascomycota; Schizosaccharomycetes; Schizosaccharomycetales; Schizosaccharomycetaceae
Source: the annotation of a GenBank genome assembly
AUUAACGCCAUCGGUGCUAUUUUGAACAUGGGUAUUAUCCACUUGGUCUUGAUUAGAAGUUGAUUUGUUUGACAAAUCUACUUUUCCGAUGGUCUUAAUGGGUUUUUGGGUAGAAGACACAGCCUUUUUAUCUGACAACUCUUGUAAAUCGGGGUUUAAGAAACGAAGAUACUUUUCGAGUAUUGAGUUGAUGUUUCGAAUGGCAUCAGAUAAUUGCUUGGAAUUUAAAAUUCUAGCAACGGUAUUUCUCUGAGCAUCCUCAGUCAAAUCUGCA